Long non-coding RNA from Hermetia illucens (black soldier fly), 596 nucleotides. RefSeq lists it as uncharacterized. The record is from RefSeq and is a predicted model, not a curated record. NCBI's taxonomy places the organism in Eukaryota, Metazoa, Arthropoda, Insecta, Diptera, Stratiomyidae. The transcript is spliced from 3 exons.
CCAACAUCUGUUCAAAUACACAUAAUGACUUGACGUGGGAUAAUACGAGUAUAUUAUUUUGAAUCGCACUUUGGUUUGAACUCUAUCAUCAUGAAAGUGGAAAGUUCUUCGGUUGGAUUAGUAUGUCAUUGACAAUUGAUUAGGAAGAUUACAAUUGGUUUUCUAUGUCAAGUUUUCAUUCGCUGUUGACAUUGGAUAAAAGAUAAGAUGAUGUUUGAAUAAAUAGUUAAUCGACAUAACGAUGUGUUCAGUUAGACCUUAUGUACAUGUGUGCUUUUAAUAGUUUAAGGGAAGAAAAGUCAAGGAUUUGAUAACACAUUGGAAUUUAUGAUUAUGAAAGGAGUUACGUCUAAUUAAACUAGUUCAUACCUGUUAGAUAAUAGGAUUCCGAAAUCUAGCCGAUAUAAAACGAAAAUCAAACCAAGUGCGCGAAAAUUGCGAAGCAACUUUGGAGAGGGGUUUGGUGAAUAGUAUAACACAAAUUCUGUAUAAUUAAGAUGAAACUUAGUUUUUUUUAUUUCAUCAUCUGUUACUAUGUAAAAUUUUUCCACAACAUAAAUAAAUAAAUAAUAAAAUUUUCCCAUGAGCACCGUGGA